Molecule: ribosomal RNA, 500 nt
Filed under: uncultured bacterium
Lineage: Bacteria
Description: partial 16S ribosomal RNA
Rfam family: Bacterial small subunit ribosomal RNA
Source: RNAcentral
AUUGAACGCUGGCGGAAUGCUUUACACAUGCAAGUCGAACGGCAGCACGGGGGCAACCCUGGUGGCGAGUGGCGAACGGGUGAGUAAUGUAUCGGAACGUGCCCAGUCGUGGGGGAUAACGUAGUGAAAAUUACGCUAAUACCGCAUACGAUCUAUGGAUGAAAGCGGGGGAUCGCAAGACCUCGCGCGAUUGGGGCGGCCGAUAUCAGAUUAGGUAGUUGGUGGGGUAAAGGCUCACCAAGCCGACGAUCUGUAGCUGGUCUGAGAGGACGACCAGGCACACGGGAACUGAGACACGGUCCAGAAUCCGACGGGAGGCAGCAGUGGGGAAUUUUGGACAAUGGGCGAAAGCCUGAUCCAGCCAUUCCGCGUGCAGGAUGAAGGCCUUCGGGUUGUAAACUGCUUUUGUACGGAACGAAACGGCGAGCUCUAAUACAGUUUGCUAAUGACGGUACCGUAAGAAUAAGCACCGGCUAACUACGUGCCAGCAGCCGCAGUAA